Molecule: ribosomal RNA, 406 nt
Filed under: uncultured bacterium
Lineage: Bacteria
Description: partial 16S ribosomal RNA
Rfam family: Bacterial small subunit ribosomal RNA
Source: RNAcentral
AUCGAACGCUGGCGGCAUGCCUAACACAUGCAAGUCGAGCGAGCGGCGGACGGGUGAGCAAUGUAUGGGGACCUGCCCGAUAGAGGGGGAUAACUACUGGAAAAGGUGGCUAAUACUGCAUACUAUCGGUUGAACUCAUAUGGGAUUAGCUAGUAGGUGGGGUAAAGGCUCACCAAGGCGACGAUCCCUAGCUGGUCUGAGAGGCUGAUCAGCCACACUGGGACUGAGACACGGCCCAGACUCCUACGGGAGGCAGCAGUGGGGAAUAUUGGACAAUGGGCGAAAGCCUGAUGCAGCCAUGCCGCGUGUAUGAAGAAGGCCUUAGGGUUGUAAAGUACUUUCAGCGGGGAGGCGUUACCCGCAGAAGAAGCACCGGCUAACUCCGUGUCAGCAGCCGCGGUAAUAC